This 283-nucleotide unclassified non-coding RNA is filed under the name Hevea brasiliensis (rubber tree). The record is from RNAcentral. Lineage: Eukaryota; Viridiplantae; Streptophyta; Magnoliopsida; Malpighiales; Euphorbiaceae.
CCAUUUAUAUACGAAAGUAUAUCCUGUGUAUUUGUUGUCUCCUUGCAAGGUCAACCAGACACUGCAACCAGAUGGAUUUCUGAGCCCCGACGUUUGUUUCCUACCAGGACUGUGUAAAAGAGAGAACUUUUUUUUUUUUGCUCUUUUUUCCAAUCAAUCUAUCCAGCUUAGCUAAUUCGACAGACCAGCAAGCGAAAUGAAGUGAGAAGAAAGGUAAAUGAUGGAAUAAAAUGGAGGGGAAAAUGCUUGACACCAAGUAACUAAUGAGAAACGCUACCCAGUG